This 253-nucleotide ribosomal RNA is filed under the name uncultured bacterium. RNAcentral describes it as "partial 16S ribosomal RNA". It matches the Rfam family "Bacterial small subunit ribosomal RNA", at positions 524 to 776 of the family's 1533-position model. The record is from RNAcentral.
UACAGAGGGUGCGAGCGUUAAUCGGAAUUACUGGGCGUAAAGCGCACGUAGGCGGCUUUGCAAGUCGGUUGUGAAAUCCCCGGGCUCAACCCGGGAACUGCAUUCGAGACUGCAUUGCUGGAGUAUGGGAGAGGGAAGCGGAAUUUCCGGUGUAGCGGUGAAAUGCGUAGAUAUCGGAAGGAACAUCAGUGGCGAAAGCGGCUUCCUGGACCAAUACUGACGCUCAUGUGCGAAAGCGUGGGGAGCAAACAGG